RNAcentral lists this ribosomal RNA (503 nucleotides) under uncultured bacterium. RNAcentral's name for it is "bacterial SSU rRNA". It matches the Rfam family "Bacterial small subunit ribosomal RNA", at positions 28 to 521 of the family's 1533-position model. The record is from RNAcentral.
GAUGAACGCUAGCGAUAGGCCUAACACAUGCAAGUCGAGGGGCAUCACAUGAAGUAGCAAUACGGAUGGUGGCGACCGGCGCACGGGUGAGUAACACGUAUGCAACCUGCCUUCAACAAGGGGAUAACCCGUUGAAAGACGGACUAAUACCCUAUAACACAGGGGUCCCGCAUGGGAAUAUUUGUUAAAGGACAACCGGUUGAAGAUGGGCAUGCGUUCCAUUAGCUAGUUGGCGGGGUAACGGCCCACCAAGGCAACGAUGGAUAGGGGAACUGAGAGGUUUAUCCCCCACACUGGUACUGAGACACGGACCAGACUCCUACGGGAGGCAGCAGUGAGGAAUAUUGGUCAAUGGACGCAAGUCUGAACCAGCCACGUCGCGUGAAGGAAGACGGCCCUACGGGUUGUAAACUUCUUUUAACGGGAAUAAAGUGCCCCACGCGUGGGGUUUUGCAUGUACCGUAUGAAUAAGGAUCGGCUAACUCCGUGCCAGCAGCCGCGGU